UCCCUCUAGAUUCCUUACUCUCAGAUCUAAAUAUUGUUCGGAACAUCUGUAAAAAGAGGGAAAGUUAACUGAAGUGGAUUUGGAGUCCUCAGUGACAUUCAAAUUCAUGUCAAGCAAAU
RNAcentral lists this small nucleolar RNA (119 nucleotides) under Echinops telfairi (small Madagascar hedgehog). RNAcentral's name for it is "Small nucleolar RNA SNORA61 (ENSETEG00000025787.1)". The record is from RNAcentral. Lineage: Eukaryota; Metazoa; Chordata; Mammalia; Afrosoricida; Tenrecidae.